This 460-nucleotide ribosomal RNA is filed under the name uncultured bacterium. RNAcentral describes it as "partial 16S ribosomal RNA". It matches the Rfam family "Bacterial small subunit ribosomal RNA", at positions 338 to 795 of the family's 1533-position model. The record is from RNAcentral.
CCUACGGGGGGCAGCAGUGAGGAAUAUUGGUCAAUGGACGCAAGUCUGAACCAGCCAUGCCGCGUGCAGGCAGACGGCUCUAUGAGUUGUAAACUGCUUUUGUACGAGGGUAAAUCCCGAUACGUGUAUCGUGUUGAAAGUAUCUUACGAAUAAGGCUCGGCUAACUCCGUGCCCGCAGGCGCGGUAAUACGGAGGGUUCAAGCGUUAUCCGGAGUUAUUGGGUUUAAGGGGUUCGUAGGUGGUUCGAUAAGUUAGAUGUGAAAUCCCGGGGCUCAACUCCGGGACUGCCGCUGAUACUGUCGGGCUAGAGUGUAGUUGCGGUAGGCGGAAUGUGUGGUGUAGCGGUGAAAUGCAUAGAGAUCAUACAGAACACCGAUUGCGAAGGCAGCUUACCAAACUACGACUGACGUUGAGGCACGAAAGCGUGGGGAGCAAACAGGAUUAGAUACCCUUGUAGUC